AUGGAAGGUACACAAGACCUCGCUGAGGAAAUAAAAGGAGAAGAAGAGCAGCAGUGUCCUGGCGUCCUUUCUGACUCGUCAAGAAGCGGCGCAGGCAAACGCUCGAGAAGAAAGACAGUCUAUGAAAAAGCUAUGACAAAAAGACGUCUGGAUCAGGAAAGAGCAAAAACCCGAGUUACAAUCGGCUCUGCUUUCCCCCGCUGGAGACAGCUGCGAGAGUCAAAGUGUCUGAAGACCGAUGCCAUGGUUGCCCUUUUUCUUCUGGACAAUUACGAGAAAAGUACAACAUCCACACCUUUGUUGCAUGAAUUCAUAAAGCCACCACCAGAGUUUUCCAACGGUUUUUCCGAGUCUUCGUACGAACAGUGAGUACAGAGUCAUGUUUCUUCAUUUAAUAAAAAAAUAUCCUUCGUAUUUUACUGGUAUUAUACAACCAUGGUUUUAUUGUGGUAAAAGUGUAGUAGCCAUGGUUUUUUGGCUUAGCCUAUUGAUUUCCAUUUGUAUAACCACAGUUACUACAAAUACCACGGUUAAACUAUAGUGUAGCAAAACCGUGGUAAAUUUGUGGUUACCGUGAUUUAACUAUAGUAGCCAUGGUCUUUCGGUUUAAUUUGUGGUAAAACCAUGGUUAAUAGGUCAAGUAAUUUUUUAAGUAUUGUUUACUGUGCAUCGAUCUUGAUUUGGUCUGAUGUGUUGGUCUGAAUUUGGGCUAAACCUACAUCUCCGUUGAUACGACUAGAGCAGGGAUCUCCAAACCUGCUUCCGGAGAGCAUCUUCAGGUAUCUCUGAAGACCUUGAUUAGGGUUUGAGAUGAACUUUGCAGGACUGUAGCUCUCUAGGAGCAGGAAUGGAGAUCCCUGAUUAAGAGUAACUGAAUGAGAACUAUUCAUGUUGAGUUUAAGUGGAAUAAAUACAUUAAAAUAAUCAAAUUUAAAUUAAAAUAAUCAAAUGAUUUUUAUUAGAUUAUGUAUUAUUUUAUUAUACAAUUAAUAUUUUUUAUGGUGUAAAUUGCUAAAAACAACAAAAACAACAACAAAAAGAACUACUUCACAUAGUAAAUUUCUUUUGUUUACUAUUCAUGUUCUGUUUUGCAAGACACAGGCCUGAAAUCAAGUUUCUCAUUAAGGAGGAAGAGGAGGAGAAACCUGCCUGUAAAAUUGAGGGUUUAUGAGGAGAGAGAGUAGGAUGCUUCUGUUGGCAAUCAGUACGCAAUCCAUGAAUGAUAUUCUUCCUGUUCUCAGAGAUGGACCUGCUGUGAACUCUGAACCUGUGAGUAUCCUGUAGUUCAGGUCCCAGACUCUGUUGGCCCUAAAAACUGAAACACUGGAAAUGUUCAAUUUACUUAACACAAAACUUGUAAAUCAGUAUUAUAAAAUAACAUUACAUGGCAUGAAAGCAUAUAAAGAAGUUAUCAAUUUAAGAUAAUAAUAAAAAAUAUAUAUUUGAUCAAAAAAAACAAAAAAAAAAAACAACCUGCUACAAAUUGAGCUCAAAUAAGGAUUCACACAGACACACACAGAUUCACUGUAAAACCUGACGAGUUCUGAAUACUCGAAACCUUUCUGGAUACUGAUUAACUCACACCAUUUAAGUAGCUUAGUUUUUUAAAGAAAACGAUUAAUAUACAUUUGAUUUGAUUUAAUAUUUAAGUAUACUUUGCUUAAAACUAUUUACUUUACAUAAUGUUUUUCAUCUGUAUAUUAUUUUGAUGCAGUAGUGCUUGAUUAAAUACACAUACUAAAUAAAAAAUAUGUACAUGUAACUUAUAGUCUAAUCAUGCUGAAGUCCAGCAUUAAAAACAAACCACAACUGUAGCUGUAUUCAGUCUUGUUUUAAAAACACUGUGACUGCGUGAACAAGUGUACCUUAACAUGACAAAUACUCUGGAAGAUCAUCAUCCAUCACAGCUGCAGUGUUUGCAGAACGUGGAGGGCUUUCAUUGACAAAGAGUGUCAUUGAUGAACUCAUCUGAUGACUCCACCUAGAACAAACACGGGGUCCAACUUAAAGUUUAAUUUACUAGAUUAAAAUUAGACAGUUGCAUUUACUGAUACAUACUAGCAAUUCUCUUAAUGCACUGAAUACUUGUAUUUUACGUUUUGAAGGACAGUGGGUCCUCUUCACUAACAUACAGCAACAAAUUAAAACUCACCUCUGUGUCACUUUCUGUGAAACAGUGGAAUUCAGCACAAACCUAGAAAACCACAAACAAACAAGUAUGUAUAUAACCAAUAACGGAUUUUUGAAAGAGGACGAUGAGUCUGUCUGGAUAUUUUAUCCUACUCAGUUUACAGCACAUGCACACCAGUAUUGUAUAAUUUUUCUUAGGCUAAAAGAACAAAACCAUAAUUACUGUAUUUGCAUUACUGGAAGUGGUAGUUUACCCCAUUACCCCAUUAAUGAUUGCGAAUCGGAUUUGUUUGUUUAAAUGACGUAUCUGUGAUGAAUUGUACAUCAAUAAAUCAUAACAAUUAAAAUAAACCGGACUUACAAAUGUUCUUAUUGUUUCUUUUUAGAAGGCAUAUUCUAGUCUAUCCACUGGUUCACAUCAACAACUGUGUGAAGAUACUUCCUAUAACUCUUAUUACCCAAUAAAAUUAGUCCUCACUGCAGAAAAUUAAGUCCUGUUCCUUCAUGUCAAAUGCAUAAACUUUAAUAUCUUAAUAUAAAGUUCACCCAGAAAUGAAACUUCUUUUAUCAGUUAUGUCACUCCAAACCUGUAAGACUAAUUCAUUAUCAGAACACAAAAUAUUUGUAGUAUUUCCUCAUAAUUUUUGUCCAUUCAAUGAAAGUCCACACAACCAAAAUAUUCCACCUCAAAAAUGCAUGAAGACAUUGUGAAGGUAAUUUAUAUGAUUUAAUGGAAGCUUUUAUUAACAUGCAAACUUUGAUCCUCCACAUAUAUAGACCCCAUGAACUGAAGCUCAAACAUGCUUGAGAAAUUGUCAGGUUUCUUCAACCGCUGUAAUUAUAUAUUAUUAUUUUUACAAGGUGUUUAUACACUUUUUGAAGUUGGAAGACAUUGGUUGCCUGGAUUGGGUGAACAAAAUUAAGAGAAAUUAGAAAAUUAUAUUUAUGUUUUGAAAGUGGACCAGAUUUAUCGGUUUAAAGCGACAUGAAAGUGAAUAAAAUAUGACAAAUAAAAUGUUAGGGUGAAUUAACCCUUAAAAAAGAUAACAAAUGGUCUAAUGAAUUAAAUUUGUAUGUAAAGGUUCAUGAUGAGAAUCAAUCCUGACAACAGCAUGUGCUCCUCAAAGGUCCAGAUCAGCAGAAGAAGUGGAAGAUGGUGAAAGGAAGAGCUCUGGCCUGAAACACCUGUGUGGCCUCCUUAAUGAAGGAGUUUGUGGAUUCAACUGGCAAAAUGACUAAAUCUACUAAAUAUAUUCUGCUUGUUUUUUAAUCUUUCAAUGUUAAUAUAAUACUUAGGAUUGUUCAUGUAUUCCAUCCAAUUGUUCAUGAUUUUCUUUUUUAAUGCUUCAGUAUGUGUGUUACUCUUGUGUGUUACUGCAGGUUGUCUGACAUUUUUCUUUAAAUAGUGAUAGUGGACAAUAAUUCACUUGUUUUCAACAAUAGUCCAAUUUACUGUAACGAAGUGCAGGGGCUGCUUUUGUGUUCAUGAAUUGAAUCACUAUUCGUUAUUAUUAUUAUUAUUAUUAUAAUUAUUAUAGUAUGUUGUGCUCAGGAUAGCUGUGAUUCAUUAAAGGAGAGUUUUCUAAAUAUAAUUAUAUGUGACAAAGUUUUGUUCUUGAGUCUUACUGUCUGCAUACACAUUGUGAGAACACGUGAGGGAGAAUAUGAUACAUAAUGUGUACAUGUUGGUAAAUAAUCUCACAAGAUUUAACAAUAAAUGUUUUUAAUUUUGGAGGGAAGGGGUGUGUAAUACAUUUAAAGUAUGCUUUAAUAUUUUCUAUUAAUUAAUUUUAGACAUAUAACACAGGCAUGCACAUAUAAAUCCUUACUAGGAUGCAUUUGAGAAGCACCCAGUGACUGCAAAAACAUUUAAAGCGUCGGUAAAAUCAAGCCACAACGCAAAUGUUCAAAAACGCGUCCAAUGUCAUUACAUGCAGAUUGGGGCGGAAUUGUUUAAUGAUGAGGUGAAACUGAAAGCGACUGUGUCAAACGCCAUCUUCAGAGAAUUCAAAAUCAAAAAAGAAGGUAAGUUCAUGAAAACUUUUAACAGCUGCAGUAUUUAACUAAGGAGCGUUUGUGUCGGAAUAGACUUAAACUCAAGUCACGUCAAAGUGCAUCAAAUAUCAUUAUCUCUUAGGCCUAUACUAUACGGAAACUUACACAUUCAUGGCUGGAAAUGGUCCAGCCACCUUAUAUAUAUAUAUAUAUAUAUAUAUAUAUAUAUAUAUAUAUAUAUAUAUAUAUAUAUAUAUAUAUAUUAAACAGAGAGAGAGAGAGAGAAGGAUUUAGAAAGCUGAAAGCUGUGUCAAACAUAGUUUCAGAUCGACUUGAACCAUUUAAUAUUUUGUUUCAUAUCCAGUGAAUGUUUAAUUAUGCCGUUUGACUUUGAAAAUAAAGUAGACUAUGUCACAGGAUAAUCACAUUUAUAAACACGUAAAAUAUUCACAAUAUACAAGCCAGAAGUGUUGGCCGACAUUUAGACUAUAUCCCCAUUAUAGAGCAAGGAUCUACAACCCUGCUUCUGGAGAGCUAACUUCCUGCUUCGACACACCUUCAAGUAACUUAAGACCUUGAUUAUUUGGUUCAGGUGUGUUUGAUUAGGGUUGAAGCUGACCUUUGCAGGACAGUAGCUUUCCAGGAGCAGGACUGGAGACCCCUGAUUUAGAGCAACAGAUUGAGAACCAUUCAGUUUAAGUUAAAGAGGAAAAACCCAAUAAUUGAUUUUUAAAUUAUCAAAUUCAAAUGUUGUUCUGUACUAUGUAUUAUAUCUUCUGCAACAUGCAGGCUUGAAAUCAAGUUUCUCAUCAAGUGGGAAGAUGAGGAGAAACCUGCCUGUGAAAUUAGUGCGUAUGAGGAGAGAGAUGAGACUACUGUUGACGCUCAGAGAGCAUCAUCUU
Molecule: long non-coding RNA, 5027 nt
Organism: Carassius auratus (goldfish)
Lineage: Eukaryota; Metazoa; Chordata; Actinopteri; Cypriniformes; Cyprinidae
Source: Ensembl